This 771-nucleotide ribosomal RNA is filed under the name uncultured bacterium. RNAcentral's name for it is "bacterial SSU rRNA". It matches the Rfam family "Bacterial small subunit ribosomal RNA", at positions 8 to 796 of the family's 1533-position model. The record is from RNAcentral.
AGAGUUUGAUCAUGGCUCAGGACGAACGCUGGCGGCGUGCUUAACACAUGCAAGUCGAACGGAAAGGCCCUUCGGGGUGCUCGAGUGGCGAACGGGUGAGUAACACGUGGGUGAUCUGCCCUGCACUUUGGGAUAAGCCUGGGAAACUGGGUCUAAUACCGAAUAGGACUGCGCUCUUCAUGGGGUGUGGUGGAAAGCUUUUGCGGUGUGGGAUGGGCCCGCGGCCUAUCAGCUUGUUGGUGGGGUAAUGGCCUACCAAGGCGACGACGGGUAGCUGGCCUGAGAGGGUGACCGGCCACACUGGGACUGAGAUACGGCCCGGACUCCUACGGGAGGCAGCAGUGGGGAAUAUUGCACAAUGGGCGCAAGCCUGAUGCAGCGACGCCGCGUGAGGGAUGACGGCCUUCGGGUUGUAAACCUCUUUCAGCACAGACGAAGCGCGAGUGACGGUAUGUGCAGAAGAAGGACCGGCCAACUACGUGCCAGCAGCCGCGGUAAUACGUAGGGUCCGAGCGUUGUCCGGAAUUACUGGGCGUAAAGAGCUCGUAGGUGGUUUGUCGCGUUGUUCGUGAAAACUCACAGCUUAACUGUGGGCGUGCGGGCGAUACGGGCAGACUUGAGUACUGCAGGGGAGACUGGAAUUCCUGGUGUAGCGGUGGAAUGCGCAGAUAUCAGGAGGAACACCGGUGGCGAAGGCGGGUCUCUGGGCAGUAACUGACGCUGAGGAGCGAAAGCGUGGGGAGCGAACAGGAUUAGAUACCCUGGUAGUCC